UGGGGCAGCGGUUGUAACUAUACUGAGACCUUAGAACUUCUAUCUCAAGGUGUGUGGUGCGUUUACGCUGUGGAUGUCUAUGGGUUCCAGUAACCACUUAACACAAGGUGGGCUGUGAGCUCGUCCACACAUUAAUACGAAGAGCAUAAUCAAACGAAAUUAGAUACGAAGUUUAAAGGGCCGUUUAAAGUAGUUGAAGUAUUGGAUGGUGUCGAUUUAAUUUUGACUCUCACACAUUCGCUUAAGGCUCGAGCUGCUACUUGCCUCACAAAAAUACAGCCUGCAAAACCUGAACAACCUCCUCAUCCGUGGGCGCCCGGCUCUCGCCUGCAAGUCAGCUGUUACGUGUGCGGUGAUGCGAGUCAUGUAGCUUCUGGGUGUUCCAUGCGCUACAAGAAGAAAAACGACACUGCUCCAGGUGCUGUGGCAGGUGCAACCAGAGACGUCAACGUGUGUUCCAGAGCUUCAGUGUGUUACAGAUAAGUGGUUUUGGCUUCCCCUUUAUGUUCCAUUGAGGGUCAGAAUGUAGUCUUAUAAAACAAAGCCAUAGUAAUUUAUUCAAUGGUAAGAGGUUUCAUGAACAAGUCACUCUUUGAUCUGAAAGUAACUCGGACCAAUCAUGGCAAGAGCAGUUAGGGGAUAUUCAACUCGCCCUUAAUAGUACACGUUGUCAAGUAACAGGGUUUACUCCAAUAGAAUAGAUGUUUACCGU
Molecule: long non-coding RNA, 712 nt
Organism: Bombyx mori (domestic silkworm)
Lineage: Eukaryota; Metazoa; Arthropoda; Insecta; Lepidoptera; Bombycidae
Exons: 3
Source: RefSeq, a predicted model, not a curated record